This 29-nucleotide non-coding RNA is filed under the name Mus musculus (house mouse). The record is from RNAcentral. Lineage: Eukaryota; Metazoa; Chordata; Mammalia; Rodentia; Muridae.
GGCUGAUGUAUACGACCUCUUGCACUGCC